RNAcentral lists this ribosomal RNA (873 nucleotides) under uncultured Acidovorax sp. RNAcentral describes it as "bacterial SSU rRNA". It matches the Rfam family "Bacterial small subunit ribosomal RNA", at positions 30 to 882 of the family's 1533-position model. Lineage: Bacteria; Pseudomonadati; Pseudomonadota; Betaproteobacteria; Burkholderiales; Comamonadaceae. The record is from RNAcentral.
AUGACGCUGGCGGAAUGCUUUACACCUGCAGUCGAACGGCAGCACGGACUUCGGUCUGGUGGCGAGUGGCGAACGGGUGAGUAAUACAUCGGAACGUGCCCAGUCGUGGGGGAUAACGUAGCGAAAGCUACGCUAAUACCGCAUACGAUCUAAGGAUGAAAGCGGGGGAUCGCAAGACCUCGCGCGAUUGGAGCGGCCGAUGGCAGAUUAGGUAGUUGGUAGGGUAAAGGCCUACCAAGCCGACGAUCUGUAGCUGGUCUGAGAGGACGACCAGCCACACUGGGACUGAGACACGGCCCAGACUCCUACGGGAGGCAGCAGUGGGGAAUUUUGGACAAUGGGCGAAAGCCUGAUCCAGCCAUUCCGCGUGCAGGAUGAAGGCCCUCGGGUUGUAAACUGCUUUUGUACGGAACGAAAAGGUCCUGGUUAAUACCUGGGGCUCAUGACGGUACCGUAAGAAUAAGCACCGGCUAACUACGUGCCAGCAGCCGCGGUAAUACGUAGGGUGCAAGCGUUAAUCGGAAUUACUGGGCGUAAAGCGUGCGCAGGCGGUGAUGUAAGACAGAGGUGAAAUCCCCGGGCUCAAACCUGGGAACUGCCUUUGUGACUGCAUCGCUGGAGUACGGCAGAGGGGGAUGGAAUUCCGCGUGUAGCAGUGAAAUGCGUAGAUUUGCGGAAGAACACCGAUUGGCGAAGGGGCAAUCCCCCUCGGGGCCUGUACUGACGCUCAUGCACGAAAAGCGUGGGGAGCCAAACCAGGAUUCGAUACCCUGGUUAUUCCACGGCCCUUAAAAGAUUUCACACCUGGGUUUUUUGGGUUCUCCACCGACAUUCAGACAGAGUCAACCCUGUAAAUUUACCCCCUUGGGAUUC